GAACUAAAAGCUUUUUGUUCUGCUUCUUAAUAGUGCCUAGCAGAAAUUAUCCUGUGAAACCACCUCCGUGUUUCACCUCACACAGGAAAUCAGACUGCCAGACUUUGUAACAGAAUUUACAUCCUUUAGGGCGCUAUACGAAUUUCUCUUGCACUCAAGCAGCUUCACCCUGCAGAAGGUCAUCCUCACUCUAAGAAGGAAAGUGAUGUUGAACAACAAAGGCAGGCUGGCAGACAACCAUCUGACCUUGAGGUGCAUCACCUCUGACAUCUGAAAAAUAGCAAUGUCGAGCAGUGUACAAGGAUUACUUAAAAUGCAGCAUUGCUAUUUGAAGUGCAUACUUUUUACAAAAUAUACAGUCAGCUAGCAUAUAAACAUAUCUAUCAUAUAUUGCCAUCAAUGUCUUUCUCAAAGAAAACUUUGUUACCAACAUGCCUAAAAAACCCCAGGUGUUUGAAAUUUUGUAGAGACUGACGACAGGCUUCCUAGGACACUUUGGUGAGUGUUGUAUUUCUUUUUAUAUUUGUAAAGGAACAUGCAUAUAUAGGACUCUGGUAUUAAAUCUAUACACUCAUUAUUAAGAUAACCAUUAAAUAGUUACUUUUGAGAUCUCUUGCUUUCCAUAAUCUCUGCUUUUAGUAUAAGAAGGCUAAGUUUAAAUUAAAAAAAAAAAAAACUAAUUUUAAUGGCAGCAUGCUUCUAAUUUUGAAAACUAACUCCAAAGAUUUAUCUUGGUGGCUGUUUGUUGGUAUAGACAAGUUUGACUGUUUUGAUGGCACUGUCCAUUUUUUCAAAAACCCAGCGUAAGUUGAUGUUAAACUUUCCUGUGUGUUUUCUGUAUAGAGAAAUUUAGAUAGAGAAACUCUUGUUGUAUUUUUCCAAUUUGAUUCUGACUAGGGUUUCAAUUCCUUAAGAGGUAAGGAGUUACAAGUGGACACUGAUUAGGAAGUUUCAACUAUCCAGUCUUAAUGAUUGUUGAUAUUUCACUUAUUAGUAACUAUGCUUUAUGAAACAGAACUCUAAUAGUGAAUUUAGAUAAUUACACUGCUAGUCUUCGCUCAUCCUUAUAACUAUUUCCUUUUUUAUCAAACUUUUGAUAUUUAAAACCAGUGUGGUGUCAUUCUGGAUACGACUAAAUUUCUGAAUUGUUUCAUUUCCUCUUAAUGAAAGGGCUGCCAUGUUUUGCUUUAUAAUGUAGUUGGUAAUUUCUGCUGAUAUAAAAAGCUGUCAAAAGCUUAUUUUUAAAAAGUGAAAUAAAAGCUAAGUUUAUUCUUGACCUCUGGUGCA
RNAcentral lists this long non-coding RNA (1287 nucleotides) under Chrysolophus pictus (golden pheasant). RNAcentral describes it as "lncRNA (ENSCPIG00010000721.1)". The record is from RNAcentral. Lineage: Eukaryota; Metazoa; Chordata; Aves; Galliformes; Phasianidae.